AUACGUAGGGUGCAAGCGUUAAUCGGAAUUACUGGGCGUAAAGCGUGCGCAGGCGGUUUUGUAAGACAGUGGUGAAAUCCCCGGGCUCAACCUGGGAACUGCCAUUGUGACUGCAAGGCUGGAGUGCGGCAGAGGGGGAUGGAAUUCCGCGUGUAGCAGGGAAAUGCGUAGAUAUGCGGAGGAACACCGAUGGCGAAGGCAAUCCCCUGGGCCUGCACUGACGCUCAUUCACGAAAGCGUGGGGAGCAAACAGGAUUAGAUACCCUGGUAGUCCACGCCCUAAACGAUGUCAACUGGUUGUUGGGGAUUUAUUUUCUCAGUAACGAAGCUAACGCGUGAAGUUGACCGCCUGGGGAGUACGGCCGCAAGGUUAAAACUCAAAGGAAUUGACGGGG
Molecule: ribosomal RNA, 395 nt
Filed under: uncultured bacterium
Lineage: Bacteria
Description: partial 16S ribosomal RNA
Rfam family: Bacterial small subunit ribosomal RNA
Source: RNAcentral